This 443-nucleotide ribosomal RNA is filed under the name uncultured bacterium. Its description in RNAcentral is "partial 16S ribosomal RNA". It matches the Rfam family "Bacterial small subunit ribosomal RNA", at positions 338 to 795 of the family's 1533-position model. The record is from RNAcentral.
CCUACGGGAUGCAGCAGUGGGGAAUAUUGGGCAAUGGGCGCAAGCCUGACCCAGCAACGCCGCGUGAAGGAAGAAGGCUUUCGGGUUGUAAACUUCUUUUCUCAGGGACGAAGAAAGUGACGGUACCUGAGGAAUAAGCCACGGCUAACUACGUGCCAGCAGCCGCGGUAAUACGUAGGUGGCAAGCGUUAUCCGGAUGUAUUGGGUGUAAAGGGCGUGUAGGCGGGAGCGCAAGUCAGAUGUGAAAACUCAGGGCUCAACCCUGAGCCUGCAUUUGAAACUGUGUUUCUUGAGUACUGGAGAGGCAGACGGAAUUCCUAGUGUAGCGGUGAAAUGCGUAGAUAUUAGGAGGAACACCAGUGGCGAAGGCGGUCUGCUGGACAGCAACUGACGCUGAGGCGCGAAAGCGUGGGGAGCAAACAGGAUUAGAUACCCUAGUAGUC